UUUUUUUUACAUCCCAAGGAAAAAAGAAAAGCUUUAUUCAAAUAUCGCCCAGCAACGAGGACAUUGAUGACAAAAUGAAAAGAAUUUUCCAAAUGACCUCUAUGAAAACCUAGUGGCUGUUGUGUCUGUUUCACAUAUUAUAACUCUUAAUCCUCCUCGACUAUUCUCAAAUCUCCUAUUUCAACCUUCCACCAUUUUCUCAGAAAACAGAAAUAUCAAUUAUAGGUCUUAUAUAACAAUCCCACAUAGAAUGUGCUUAACCUGUAUAUGAGGGACAAAAAUUUCAAAAAACUAUGGACCAAAAUUUUUAUCAUUCAUGAAAAAGAAUCAUGAGGUCAUAAUAGCAGUGGAAUAUAUUCAUGGAAACUUUGUGCCAAAGAGAGCAUUUGAUCCU
Molecule: unclassified non-coding RNA, 394 nt
Filed under: Hevea brasiliensis (rubber tree)
Lineage: Eukaryota; Viridiplantae; Streptophyta; Magnoliopsida; Malpighiales; Euphorbiaceae
Source: RNAcentral